AGGGAAACUUGGUGGAACCGAGUUUGUGAUUCCGGUGGUACCGAGAUGAAAAACCAAGAUCAACUCUGGAAUUCGAUGGAACCAAGUUCGUGAAGUUGGUUUCACCGAGUUCAUUCACAGAGAGGUUUUGGAGGUUAGCCAUUGACGAUUCGGAACUCCGAGUGCUCCUUCACACAAAGGGAUCGACAAGUGCUUGUUCAAGUUUUGUGAUGAAGCAUGAAUAUAACUUGAGAUGAGAUAGCAUAAAUAGCUAGAGAAGGGUCCUAGGCAUUCUUGUCCAUCCAAUUGGCAAAUGAUAAAUCAAGAGACAAAUAACAACAAUUGGAUGUCGUCGAAUGAUCAAACACAUGCACACCAACAUGCUCACACAAUAAGAAUGACAGAGAAAACAUGGUGAACAUGCACAAACAUCCUAGCAGUUAUCAAGCACUUGGGCAAUGACAAAGUCAUCUAUAUAUGAGUAUAUUGACAUGGGAGCCAAGUAAGACUACUUGAUCAUAGGUCAUACUCAUCCUUAAGCACAAGUGGGGUUACCACUUUUACAUAAGCAUUAAUCUGUUCAUAUCCUUAGGAGAUGCUUAUACUCAAGUCUUAGAGUAAAGCUCCCCCUUGAUAUGACAUCCCACUAAUAGGGAUCAACUAACCUUGGGUUUUGUCGUUGAAGACUUCAAGUAGGUGAAGUAGUGGUGGAUGCUCAAAGUUGAUGAAGAUCAUCUUGAGUUAGGAG
This 727-nucleotide long non-coding RNA is filed under the name Hordeum vulgare. RNAcentral describes it as "long non-coding RNA (HVUL_LNC005329)". Lineage: Eukaryota; Viridiplantae; Streptophyta; Magnoliopsida; Poales; Poaceae. The record is from RNAcentral.